UCUACGGGUGGCUGCAGUGGGGAAUAUUGCACAAUGGGCGCAAGCCUGAUGCAGCCAUGCCGCGUGUGUGAAGAAGGCCUUCGGGUUGUAAAGCACUUUCAGCGGGGAGGAAGGCGGUGAGGUUAAUAACCUCAUCGAUUGACGUUACCCGCAGAAGAAGCACCGGCUAACUCCGUGCCAGCAGCCGCGGUAAUACGGAGGGUGCAAGCGUUAAUCGGAAUUACUGGGCGUAAAGCGCACGCAGGCGGUCUGUCAAGUCGGAUGUGAAAUCCCCGGGCUCAACCUGGGAACUGCAUUCGAAACUGGCAGGCUAGAGCCUUGUAGAGGGGGGUAGAAUUCCAGGUGUAGCGGUGAAAUGCGUAGAGAUCUGGAGGAAUACCGGUGGCGAAGGCGGCCCCCUGGACAAAGACUGACGCUCAGGUGCGAAAGCGUGGGGAGCAAACAGGAUUAGAUACCCGAGUAGUC
RNAcentral lists this ribosomal RNA (465 nucleotides) under uncultured Klebsiella sp. RNAcentral describes it as "bacterial SSU rRNA". It matches the Rfam family "Bacterial small subunit ribosomal RNA", at positions 338 to 795 of the family's 1533-position model. The record is from RNAcentral. Lineage: Bacteria; Pseudomonadati; Pseudomonadota; Gammaproteobacteria; Enterobacterales; Enterobacteriaceae.